UACCCAGAAGGAGGUGUGGUUUAGUUUUAGGUGCAGUUAAUCCAGGUAUCCUGUGUGUGAGUCUGUGUGGUUACUGUGGUUAAGGAAAGCACACGAACAGGAGUCACAAUGCCUCCCAAAGAGAAGAAUAAGAAGGGCCAUGAGAAAAAGGGAGUUUGCCAGAAGGGAGUGCACAAGUCGGAGGACAAGGACAACAAAGGCUGCAAGAAGAAGAAGGAACAUAAGAAAAAGGAUAAGCCAGAUGGGGGAAAAAGCUCCUCAUCUUCAUCAUCCUCCAGCAGUGAUGAGGAAUGAUGCUUCCUGGAGGACCGGACUGCUCCGUCAGUCUCUUAUGAUCUUGCCUAUUGACUAAAUGAGUGUGCAGUAUAGUACCAACUUUUUCCUCCUGUUCUUUCAUUGGUGUCACAGAAACAUGCUGGUCUUGUGUAAACAAAUCCGCUGAUUCCUAGAAGUAAAUUUUCUGACAACAAAAUGCUAAAGGCCGACAGUGGUCCAAACAUGUUGGCAUUUUUUAAUGAUUUAGCCACUAUAAUAAAGGCUUUUUAAUAUAUUUCCUUCCUCGUUUGCCACUUGUUUUAAUAUUUUGGAGUGCCUGGAUUGCCUUCUUGUACAAAAUGCUCAAGUUCUUCUGUCAAGUAAAGUGCAUUUUCUUCACCUCAA
Long non-coding RNA from Sebastes umbrosus (honeycomb rockfish), 660 nucleotides. RefSeq lists it as uncharacterized. NCBI's taxonomy places the organism in Eukaryota, Metazoa, Chordata, Actinopteri, Perciformes, Sebastidae. The record is from RefSeq and is a predicted model, not a curated record. The transcript is spliced from 4 exons.